RNAcentral lists this ribosomal RNA (253 nucleotides) under uncultured bacterium. RNAcentral describes it as "partial 16S ribosomal RNA". It matches the Rfam family "Bacterial small subunit ribosomal RNA", at positions 524 to 776 of the family's 1533-position model. The record is from RNAcentral.
UACGUAUGGUGCAAGCGUUAUCCGGAUUUACUGGGUGUAAAGGGAGCGCAGGCGGCGCGUUAAGCCUGGUGUGAAAGCCCGCGGCCCAACCGCGGGACUGCAUUGGGAACUGGCGCGCUGGAGUGCCGGAGGGGUAGGCGGAAUUCCUAGUGUAGCGGUGAAAUGCGUAGAUAUUAGGAGGAGCACCAGUGGCGAAGGCGGCCUACUGGACGGUGACUGACGCUGAGGCUCGAAAGCGUGGGGAGCGAACAGG